RNAcentral lists this ribosomal RNA (482 nucleotides) under uncultured bacterium. RNAcentral describes it as "partial 16S ribosomal RNA". It matches the Rfam family "Bacterial small subunit ribosomal RNA", at positions 30 to 507 of the family's 1533-position model. The record is from RNAcentral.
AUUGAACGCUGGCGGCAUGCUUUACACAUGCAAGUCGAACGGUAACAGGCCGCAAGGUGCUGACGAGUGGCGAACGGGUGAGUAAUGCAUCGGAACGUGCCCAGUCGUGGGGGAUAACUACUCGCAAGAGUAGCUAAUACCGCAUACGAUCUAUGGUUGAAAGCGGGGGACCGUAAGGCCUCGCGCGAUUGGUGCGGCCGAUGUCAGAUUAGGUAGUUGGUGGGGUAAAGGCUCACCAAGCCAACGAUCUGUAGCUGGUCUGAGAGGACGACCCGCCACACUGGAACUGAGACACGGCCCAGACUCCUACGGGAGGCAGCAGUGGGGAAUUUUGGACAAUGGGCGCAAGCCUGAUCCAGCAAUGCCGCGUGCAGGAAGAAGGCCUUCGGGUUGUAAACUGCUUUUGUACGGAACGAAACGGCUCUGGUUAAUACCCGGGGCUAAUGACGGUACCGUAAGAAUAAGCACCGGCUAACUACGUG